Molecule: ribosomal RNA, 250 nt
Filed under: uncultured bacterium
Lineage: Bacteria
Description: partial 16S ribosomal RNA
Rfam family: Bacterial small subunit ribosomal RNA
Source: RNAcentral
AUUGAACGCUGGCGGCAUGCCUUACACAUGCAAGUCGAACGGCAGCACGAGAGCAAUCCUGGUGGCGAGUGGCGAACGGGUGNGUAAUAUAUCGGAACGUGCCCCGGUCGUGGGGGAUAACGUAGCGAAAGCUACGCUAAUACCGCAUACGAUCUACGGAUGAAAGCGGGGGAUCGCAAGACCUCGCGCGAUUGGAGCGGCCGAUAUCAGAUUAGGUAGUUGGUGAGGUAAAGGNUCACCAAGCCGACGA